RNAcentral lists this ribosomal RNA (292 nucleotides) under uncultured eukaryote. RNAcentral's name for it is "partial 18S ribosomal RNA". It matches the Rfam family "Eukaryotic small subunit ribosomal RNA", at positions 6 to 294 of the family's 1831-position model. The record is from RNAcentral.
GGUUGAUCCUGCCAGUAGUCAUAUGCUUGUCUCAAAGAUUAAGCCAUGCAUGUCUAAGUAUAAAUAAAUUUAUAUUGUGAAACUGCGAAUGGCUCAUUAAAUCAGUUAUGAUCUACGUGACAUAUUCUUUACUACUUGGAUAACCGUGGUAAUUCUAGAGCUAAUACAUGCAAAAAAACCCUGACUUACGAAAGGGUGCACUUAUUAGAUAAAGCCAACGCUGGGUAAAACCAGUUUCCCUUGGUGAUUCAUAAUAAUUUAGCGGAUCGCAUGGCCUUGUGCUAGCGACAGU